Molecule: ribosomal RNA, 490 nt
Filed under: uncultured bacterium
Lineage: Bacteria
Description: partial 16S ribosomal RNA
Rfam family: Bacterial small subunit ribosomal RNA
Source: RNAcentral
AUUGAACGCUGGCGGCAGGCCUAACACAUGCCAGUCGAACGGUAACAGGAAGAAGCUUGCUUCUUUGCUGACGAGUGGCGGACGGGUGAGUAGUGUCUGGGAAACUGCCUGAUGGAGGGGGAUAACUACUGGAAACGGUAGCUAAUACCGCAUAACGUCGCAAGACCAAAGAGGGGGACCUUCGGGCCUCUUGCCAUCGGAUGUGCCCAGAUGGGAUUAGCUAGUAGGUGGGGUAACGGCUCACCUAGGCGACGAUCCCUAGCUGGUCUGAGAGGAUGACCAGCCACACUGGAACUGAGACACGGUCCAGACUCCUACGGGAGGCAGCAGUGGGGAAUAUUGCACAAUGGGCGCAAGCCUGAUGCAGCCAUGCCGCGUGUAUGAAGAAGGCCUUCGGGUUGUAAAGUACUUUCAGCGGGGAGGAAGGGAGUAAAGUUAAUACCUUUGCUCAUUGACGUUACCCGCAGAAGAAGCACCGGCUAACUCCGUG